This 556-nucleotide ribosomal RNA is filed under the name uncultured bacterium. RNAcentral describes it as "partial 16S ribosomal RNA". It matches the Rfam family "Bacterial small subunit ribosomal RNA", at positions 355 to 900 of the family's 1533-position model. The record is from RNAcentral.
UAGGGAAUCUUCCACAAUGGACGCAAGUCUGAUGGAGCAACGCCGCGUGAGUGAAGAAGGUUUUCGGACCGUAAAGCUCUGUUGUUGGUGAAGAAGGAUAGAGGUAGUAACUGGCCUUUAUUUGACGGUAAUCAACCAGAAAGUCACGGCUAACUACGUGCCAGCAGCCGCGGUAAUACGUAGGUGGCAAGCGUUGUCCGGAUUUAUUGGGCGUAAAGCGAGCGCAGGCGGAAGAAUAAGUCUGAUGUGAAAGCCCUCGGCUUAACCGAGGAAUUGCAUCGGAAACUGUUUUCUUGAGUGCAGAAGAGGAGAGUAGAACUCCAUGUGUAGCGGUGGAAUGCGUAGAUAUAUGGAAGAAUACCAGUGGCGAAGGCGGCUCUCUGGUCUGCAACUGACGCUGGAGGCUACGAAAGCAUGGGUAGCGAACAGGAUUAGAUACCCUGGUAGUCCAUGCCGUAAACGAUGAGUGCUAAGUGUUGGGAGGCUUCCGCCUCUCAGUGCUGCAGCUAACGCAUUAAGCACUCCGCCUGGGGGAGUACGACCGCAAGGUUGAAAC